This 805-nucleotide ribosomal RNA is filed under the name Biacetabulum carpiodi. RNAcentral describes it as "partial large subunit ribosomal RNA". The stretch from base 579 to 805 matches the Rfam family "Bacterial large subunit ribosomal RNA", at positions 2075 to 2600 of the family's 2925-position model. The record is from RNAcentral. Lineage: Eukaryota; Metazoa; Platyhelminthes; Cestoda; Caryophyllidea; Caryophyllaeidae.
CUAUUGAGUGAGUGAGUAUACAGACUACCGAAACAUCCGGAUCUUACUGAAGUUUGAUUGGCCGUGUAACGGGUUGUUUUAUAAAAUUUUGUAAGUAGUGAUAAAUUAGUCGGCGGGUGUUAUAUCUGUUUAGGGAAUUUUUUUUUUAUUUUUAAAAUGUUGGCGAAGAGGUCAAUAUUUUUUCUAUGCUAUUGUAAUUUUGUUUCUUAUACUAGGGUUAGGGUUACCCCUGUAUCAUAAUAUUGUUACUAAUUUUAUAGUUUAGUUUAAUAGCUAGGUGGGUCUUUCCCUUUACUAAAUUUUAUGAGGGUAUUUAUGAAUUAAUAAGUAAUAAUAUUAGAUAUAUUUUAUCUCAGCUCCAGUCUGACUGUUUAUUAAAAACAUUUUCACACGUCUAUAUUGUGUGGUAAGACCUGCCCGGUGUUUAAUUAACGGCCGCAGUAUUUUGACUGUGCAAAGGUAGCAUAAUUAAUUGCCUCAUAAUUGGGGGCUUGUUUGAAAGGUUUAACAUGAUUGUGGGAAGAAAUUAUAUUUUUUGUUGAAAUUGAUCCGGAGAGUACAGAAUCUUCUGCUUGCUAGUAAGACGGAAAGACCCCGGGAUCUUUUAAUUUUGUCUGGGGCAGAUUGUGGUGUUUUACCACAUUUACGACCCUCAGUUUAAAGGUUUAAGUUACCCCGGGGAUAACAGGGUAAUAGUUUAUGAGAGUUCAUAUCGAGUAAGUUGUUUGCUACCUCGAUGUUGACUUGGGUUAACCUAAUGGCGCAGCCGUUUUUGGGUUGGUCUGUUCGACCAUAGAUACCUUCA